This 337-nucleotide unclassified non-coding RNA is filed under the name soil metagenome. RNAcentral's name for it is "partial contains 5.8S ribosomal RNA, internal transcribed spacer 2, and large subunit ribosomal RNA". The stretch from base 1 to 119 matches the Rfam family "5.8S ribosomal RNA", at positions 35 to 154 of the family's 154-position model. The record is from RNAcentral.
GAUGAAGAACGUAGCGAAAUGCGAUAAGUGAUGCGAAACGCAACUUUUGUGAGUCAUCGAAUCUUUGAACGCAGAUUGCGCCCUUUGGUAUUCCUUAGGGCAUGCCUGUUCGAGCGUCAUUUGAAACCUCAAGCUCAGCUUGGUGUUGGGUGUCUGUCCCCGCCUCACCGCGGGGACUCGCCUCAAAAUCAUUGGCGGCCGGUACGUUGGCUUCGAGCGCAGCAGAAACGCGAACUCGAGGCCCGGCGGAUCGGCGACCAGAAGUCACUUCUUCACAGUUUGACCUCGGAUCAGGUAGGGAUACCCGCUGAACUUAAGCAUAUCAAUAAGCGGAGGA